Molecule: long non-coding RNA, 807 nt
Filed under: Fukomys damarensis (Damara mole-rat)
Lineage: Eukaryota; Metazoa; Chordata; Mammalia; Rodentia; Bathyergidae
Description: lncRNA (ENSFDAG00000027423.1)
Source: RNAcentral
CCGAUUUCUUCCUCUACCAUUUUGCAUGGGGGAAUUUAUUGGUGUGAAACCUUUCAAUUUAGGACACAACACGGACCACUCUGAUGGGAUUGUGAGCGGAUGAGAGAAGGGAACAUCAGCCAGACUGCCUGGAGCAGGAGCGGGGUGCAGCAGCUGCCGGGGCUGUGGGUGCCCACCUCGGAGAGAGAGGAAGGCUGCUCCUGCUUGCCUGACGCAGACUGACUUAGAUUGGGCAGGGGCAUUUUGUGUUGGUUCUAAGGAAGUAUACGGAAAUGGAGACUGAAUAAGUAAGGCGUAGACUGUGUCAAAUACUGCCUGCCAGCUCUACACGAUGCCUUUGGAGCCUCCUGGCUCCUCCUCCUCCUCCUCCUCCUCCUCUUCCUCCUCCACCUCGUCCUCCUCCUUCCAGAGUGCUGGAAUUACGGGUAGGAACCACCAUGCCUGGCCGUCAUGGUCUUCUGUACCAUGAAGGCUGAAAGAUCACGAAUGGCAUUUCCAGGCUCUCGUGAAACUAGAACGCCCACUUCGCUUGGCUUCUGCCGAGAAGACAGACAAACCAGCAGAGGAGGAAGAGCUGAGCGCCGCGUGGAGGUGUCCGCGAGGCAGUUCCGGUGGCAGAAGCGGUUGGCUUCUUCUGCGGCAGCUGCAGUGCAGGUCCUGGUGUCAGGCCCUGAGCAGAGCAUCAGCAACUUCAUGCCUUGGCAGCUUUCCGGGUGGCAGCCUGGGCACCGCGGCCCCCGGCCAAACGGCAGCUUAUUAAUGUUGCUUCAGAAGGCAAGAUAUAAAGUCUAUGCUGCUUGGAGAUAA